Aegilops tauschii subsp. strangulata is the source of this 6905-nucleotide long non-coding RNA. RefSeq lists it as uncharacterized. Lineage: Eukaryota; Viridiplantae; Streptophyta; Magnoliopsida; Poales; Poaceae. The record is from RefSeq and is a predicted model, not a curated record.
CGUCCACCCUGGGAUCCGAGCGCAGAGUCAACCUUCCCCGGCGGCGGCGCUCCAUUCAAUCUGCAAGAGAGAGAGAGAUCGAGACCGAGAGAGAGAGAGGAUGAGAGGGAGAAGAAGGAAAGAGAGGAGGGAGAAAGAGAGAGGAAAGAGGAGAGGGAGGCGUGGCGUCGGAUGGGAGAGGGUGACCGCCGGCGUCCGCCUGCACCGACGAGGUCGGGUCCUCGAGCCAUGGAGGCACUCAUCGCUGGUCCCUCGCCGUUGGCCUCCCGUGCGUCACACCACCCCUCCUGCCGCCUCGGCUCUCUCCUCCCGCCUCGGCAGAUUGGAUGGAGGGUGCUACGCCUCCGUCGCCGACUGGAUUUGCUCCUCCAUCGCCGCCGCGAGUCAACUCCACCGUUGUCGCCAGGAAUCCGUCCCCCUGCUGCAGCCUGCUCGUCUUCCGGUUGGUGCAGUCGGCAUCGCGGCCCUGCAGAGGGCGUUGAAUAGGGUUUGGGUGGGGUUGACUCCUAUAACGAUGGCUGGCUACAUCAACCAGCAGCUGCACCUCCUUCGACUUCCACAAUAUCGCCCACCGAGCUGCGUUGCUGUACGAAGACCUUCUGUAUUUCGGUGGUGCCAUGGUGUUCCUCUCAAGGUUAAUGAGUGUGCUCCCAGCGGCUCCAGUGAUGCGGGGUGAUUGCGCCCGGUCCAUGCUCCGGUGUCUUUGUUGGCUGAGCUGAACAAGCUACAGAGAGUGGCUUCUUUCGAGCUGGUAUAUUGAGAUAUUUAUGCACUCAUAGGUCACACCUCAUGAAGCUACUACCGUGCAUUGAUUCUGUCGAGAUUGAUUAAAAGAACAUUUUAUUAGUUUCCUAUUGCCAUUUCCCAUGAAACAUGAUGAUUAUGUUCAGUGAGGUUCUCAAUUUAAUAGUCUGAAUGCGCAUAUGUUCGAUAUUAAAUUUGAUAACAAAGACCAAUAGUUUUUGGCCCUUUGCAUGGGGUAUUCCUUUCUUUGAGAAACAUUUUUGACUAAAGCUUCUUCGAUGCCCCAUGGACGCUCAGGUUUGCUUUCAUAGAUGCAGCAAAUAUCUAAAAUGUAUUGCAGUUCAUGAGUUAUUUAGCAAUGAUAAAAUGUUCUCUAUCGUUAUUUGCUUUUAGUAUGUAAUAAGCUCCCCGGGUAGUGGUGGAUCUUUAUAUUAGCACAUGACUGAGCAGUUCGACAACGUUUAUAAUUUAUCGUUGUCAAGUCAGCCUUUGCGUGAUUCAAAAAGAACACACGGACUGCUGCACGCUACUAAAUUAUUUUUUAGCUGGGGUUGUUCAAUAGGAUUUAGAUUUUAAGCAGAAUAGGAUACAGAUCAGCGGUCCAUGUUUACAGACACUGGCAUAAGAAUUUGUUGUGCGGCAAGGAUUUGUACAGAUUUAAAGGGGAAUUAGUAGCUAACAUCUUCGUAACGGCACAUUGUUCCAUGAUUCUUCUUGUAAGAUACUAAGAUCUCUUGAUGAUGCUUUGUUUGAUGUUCUGUGUGGAAGUUAUUUGCAUUGCACUUCAGUUCAGAACAUGGAGGCUAAGAGGCUCACCAAUUGGUGCCUAUUUCUUGUGUUUAUGCAAAUGGUAUCCUGUAAUGAAUACCUUGAGCUAUACGAUUCCUAUUGGCAGACUUCAUAUAGCUAUUGUCUAAUACGCAUUAGUAUGUAUGAUUUAUCAGUCCGGUUGCAAACUUCUCGUGCGAUAACCUUCUUUUUAUCAGUUCAGUUUAACUAUAUUUUAGAAAAGAACAUCCUUACCAAGCCUGCACAUUUUAAGGUCGUGAGGCUUCAGUUUACUCUGUUUGCCUCACUACAGGAGAACAUUCAGGUACUUAUUGAACGAUUUCACCUCUGCUAUUCCCAAGAUAUGCUCUGCCAUUUUGUACUGGCACUGUACUAAUUAUUCUGGCUGUUAUCCAUGUUACUGUCAUUUAUCAUGAUAAAAGUCGACUCACAGCUGUGCCAGGUUAAGUUAGUUCAAUUUUGAUAUGCCUAGAGUUUAGAUGUUGGGCUAUAAUUUUGAUAUGCUUUUGGUUAUGUAGUUGCAGAAAAAACAAAUUACAGCCAUAUUUUGUAGCGAUCAUAUUAUUGUGAUGCUGGUUCUCAAAUUUAUGCGGGUACUUCUCGUGUUUUGUUAAUAGCUCACCAGUUUCAUUCCCUUUUGGUUUUUUAAUAUACAUCCGUGCCCCUCUUUUAUAUCUUCUUGGUUAUUUCUUAUCUUUUUAGUUCUCAUUUGUACAUAAGUAAUACUAGCAUCAGUCUGUGUGUUCUUACAUAACAGUUAGUCUCUAAGCUACCGAUUCAGUACCAAGCUUACGUUGUAUUAUCUUUUAGGCUGAAAGCAAAAGGCAAAAACAAUGAACAAUGUAAAAGCCCUCAACACUGAAGUACAGUCUAAGAAGAAAAUUACAAGGAAGAAAAUGAAAAAGCAGCAAAAAUCUGAUAAUAUGCAAAAUCCCAUUUAGAGUAUGAACCAUAGUGAAAAAUGAUUCAGUUUAGUUAUUAAAAGUUCUUUACAUGCAGAUCACUUUCUACAUGUUUCUGCAAUUCUCUCCUAUUAUAUGGUUUGGUGUUUGUCCCGGUGUGCCGUGUUUGGUAUCCCAUUUCAUCAUCUUUAAGUCGAAUGGACACUAUUUUGUUUAUCAAUCACUUUUGAACUACUAUUCUUUCAGCACUUCUUUUAUACAUAAAAAAACUUAACUGGAAUUUAAGAAAGUUGACACUGCAUCUCUGGUUCGUUCAAUGAAAUUUUCUGCUCUCCAAUUUAACUGUCUAUGGCUGAUUGUAAUAGUGAAGGUCGAUAUUCUGAUUUCUAAUAGAAUAUACAUCUUAGUUUUCCUCUAUCUAUGUAGAGGGCUCAAGAAAGAGACAAGAACUUGUGCUUCAAGCAGCGAAGAUAGCCAGCCUAAAUGAAUCGAAACAAGAACAAGCAUCGGGAAAUUACAGAUGAGGAACUGCAGCUGGUAUGGUCACUUCCUUUUUGCCCCAAAUCAACCACAGAAAAAUCUGCUUGACAAUCAUCUUCUUGCCAAUUUAUAAUUGAAUUCCUACUAUGUUUCGCUUCCUAAAAGAAAUAGCAAUCAUCUUGAAAAAAGUAAUUUAUCUAGCUACAAAUGCUUAUUCUAUACUGAUUAUGUUGCCUCCAAUUGCGGACAGUGGUUUAUAGUUGACACUUUAGUCUACAUGUCUGCUAAUAUUUACAUGUCUGCAUGACCAAAAAAAUCAGAUAGUCUACUUAAACUUUAGUGAUGGGCAGUUAUUCUACUUCUUUUGGCUAGAUGUUCAGCAAGGGUCGCACAUCUGAAACAAGUAACUGGCUUGCUUUUGGUACACGUUCCCUGUAUAUAACUCGUUUUUCUAUUUCUUGAGGACAACACCAUAUAGAGCUUUUAGAGGCUGGUCCUGGUUUUAGAUACAAAGCGCCUGAUUGUUCUCUGUAAAUUUAUUCUGCUCCUUACAUGAGGGUCUGUGCUACUUUCAACUCGAAUGCAGAUUUUACUGUACAAUGUAAAUUAAAUCGUUCGUUUCUACUGCAUGUUAAAGGAGCUGGCCAAUAUUGGCAUGAAGCUAUAAAAGCUAGCUGGCUAUGGAGAAUUUUGCCACUGGUGAUGAAUUGCCACCUUUUCCUUGCUUGCCAUCAUGCCAUGAUUCGAAAUUUAGUUGUCAGGCUAGGUAAAGCACGCUGAGACUACCAAAAAGGAUUACGUGCGCUGCCAUCAUGCAUUUGCACCUCUAAACUUAGUUUGUUGACUAAAUUGUGUAGUUCCCUUUUGCCGAAGAAUGUUCUGGACUAGAUAGCCAGCUUGCUGUUGCUGUUUCUAAGUUUUCAGUAGGACUCUUUUGUUAAAGCGAAAACCACAUAUAUGUAAUGUGCGCGGUGGUUUGUAGGACUUCAUAGGUGUUGUACUAAAAUUCAGUUUUAAUGGAGUUCGGUUCAGUGAUGUUCUAGACUUGAUAUCAUUCAAAAAAUGGCCACACGUGGAUGUAGGGUCAUAAAAGAGUCAGGGAAGAGGGAGGUACCUUGGUAGAUUGCCCAGGGGCAUUGGCAAUGUAAGCGACAGGGCACCCCUCUGCCUGCCUUGCUCAUUCACACUUCUUUUUUGUUUGGGGAGGGGCGGGUUGCAAUCUGGGCCAGGCGGGACACUGGAAACUGUGAGCAAAAGUUAAUCCGACCUGAGCUCCAAAUGAAAUUAGAUGAUUUUUUUUCCAAAACUACUGUAUGAAGCGAAAACAAGUAUGUACAUGAGUCAACCAGACAAUGGACAAAAAUCCGGCCUGAACCGAAAUAAAAAAUAGAUAUCUGUUGAUUAGACACUCCAAUAAUACAUGCGAGGAAUGUGUUUUCAUAUUGUUCAUUUUGUGGAUAUUUGAUAUAAGCGUAAUUGUAUCCCGAUAUUUGGCUUGGUACUCCAUUGUAUAACUAAUAUAACUGAGUUUCAGAGAAGGUCAGACUAUGCCUUGUCUACUGGUGAUGCUUAUAUCGGUUGUAUAGGCUAAUAUAGGUCUUGCAAUGUGCAUGUCAGGGACAGAAGUUGCUAAAGAAAGCUCCGACAUUAUAAUCUUAAGAUGAUGACUUCACAUCUAUUGUGAAGGUUAGUGUCUUCUACGUUUUUUUGGAACAGAUCUUUGUUAUGAAGGAUAACCAUUCUCACCAAUCAUGAUGGGAGUUUUUUAUCGGAUGUACAGGGUCAUUGGAAUGGACCAAGGUAUGAAUGUUCCUGAAAUGCGAUACUAGAAUCUUUGUACGUCAACACUCUUUGAUGCUUAUCUUGAUGAUCUUUCCUCUGUUCUACAUACAUUUGUGUUGUUAACUCACUUUCAUGUUCUUGAUUGGCAUGUAAUCAUCUUAGAAAAAGUUAUUUGAGCUGAGGGCGUUGAAUAGAGUAAUAAAAGCUGCUUCCUUGGAGAGUUUUUUGUGCAGAGUGGUGCAUGCAUAAUAUUAUCCUCAUUAUGUUCUCUUUGCAUGUUCUAUUGUAGGAAGCGGAUGUUAUCAAGAUCAUCCCAAGGGCAGAGCGUGCCAACGGCGAUGCUCAUUCCCGUUCUUAGUGAAAUGCGUUUACUCGAUGCAAAGUAUGAGCAUUGCAGACUCUCGCGAGCUGCUGAAGGUCGACGAGGAGGGCGCCGCCACCACCGUCAUCAGGCUGGUCCACAUCCACGCGCUGCUCGGCGUCACCAGGUCACCGGCACAACUCCUCACGCCCAGGUCGUUCAACAUUUUCUUCCGCUUUUGGUGUGUCACAUUUAGAGUCUUUCUUUCCCAUUUUACCGUGUUUGCAUGGUAAGAUGUUUGGUUGGAUUUGAAGGUUUGUAGACUUGGCUCCAAAGCUUCAAGCUCUUGUAGAAAUUAGAACUGAGGGCCUUUUAAAAUGAGUCCUGCAUAAUAGUGUUGUUCAGUGGGAUGCAGAAUUUUUGUUUGUACUGAUUUACGUACUGAUUUCAUCAUCAUAUGACUAUAAUGAAGAAGCUGUGUGUAUAAGUAUUACUAACUGAUGAUACCCUGCAUCAGUGAUUUCAAUUCUGUUGGCCCUCCUUCAGAUUGCAUGGGAAUGUGAGGCUUAAAAGUUUCAACCCUGUGCAAUGUGCUUCUCGGGUGUGGAUUUGUGUCUGACUAAUUAACGGUUCUGUUAAUACUGAUAUGUCCUUGUACAUUAAAUGGGUAUUGCAUUGCUUGUACUUAUAGUAAGUGAAAAAAAUUCUCAUAUGUUUCAAUAUGUGCCCGAAUAAUAUUAAUGUACACUCUUUCAAUACAUGGCUUACUCUUGGCCUUUACGCCAUUGGCGCAACUGGUCAUCUAGUACUAUUAAAACUGUAAGGAAACAAUUCUGUUACUAGCUUUCGUAAGGAACACAUGGUUAGAAAAAUACCCCCGAGAAAAAAGAUGUACCCUACCAUCUUACAAUAUUCUAAAAAAAAUAUCAAUAUUUUCCUGGUGCUUUGAUUCCCCAUUUUGAUCUCCUUGCUCCUUGCGCUAUUUUCAAAUUCCUUUGAAGGGAUUUCCCCUCGGUAUGUGACUCCUCCAUUUAUCCAGGUAGUUUUUUAAUAAUGCUCUACAUCAUUCUAUUUUUGCUACUACUGGUGACAUGGAAAAUGAGCUGGCAUGUUGAUUUUAGUUUUUUGUAUGUAGCUUUGAUGCAUGAUAUAAUCACUAUAUGCUUAGUAGUGGAGUUUCUCACAAUUUUUAUGUGCAAAUUUCACUUUCUAUGAGAUUUUUAGAAAAUUCAUAAUAUGAAGAGGAUAGCAAAGAACUUUGUGAAAUUUGUUUUUCUUCCCACAACAAGGAAGACAAAGGGCUUCUUCCUCUUGUAAAGAAAGAGAAGGAUGAGACUAAGGAAACUACCGUCCCCUAGAUCCAUUUGCUGUCUCUCUCUCUCUCUCCAACAUUUUUUUAUGUAGCCAAUUUUAACGGUAUGGAAAGUGUUUUUUCCGUAGGUGUGCCAACCACAUGUCAUUGAUAUAUUCUUUCUUUAUUGUUGCAUUAUCGUUACCAAGGAAGGUUUCAAAUGGCGGGGGGAAUGGGGAUUUCUAGUAGUCAUGUCUCAGCUUGCUCUUGACAUUGCAUUGUUUCAAUUUGAUAUUAAUAAUGAAAAAAAAAGAAAAUACCCUCACGAAUCUCCACAUAAGAUCAACGACAGAGCACUUAGAUGUGCAAUACUUACGAUACAUCUAGAUGUGCUUUAGCCAAACUAAUUAAAUAUAUUAUCUUAUAAAGAAAAAGUAAUAGUGCUCGAACAGUAAACUUGCAUCAGUUUCCAUGCGUAACUAUCACAUUUCAAUAAAAUGUGACAAAAAAUGACAAUGGUGUUUGAGUAACAACAGAAAAGGGCACAUGAAUGAACUGUGCAGUUGGAUAAAUAAAAUUGCGGCCCCUUAUUUGACUACACAAUCACACAAGUGUG